GGUUGUGGCUCAGCGGUAGAGCACUCACCUUGCAAGGGCAGGGCCCUGGGUUCGAUCCUCAGCACCA
Molecule: transfer RNA, 67 nt
Filed under: Marmota monax (woodchuck)
Lineage: Eukaryota; Metazoa; Chordata; Mammalia; Rodentia; Sciuridae
Description: tRNA.Ala
Source: RNAcentral